Molecule: small nuclear RNA, 171 nt
Organism: Oncorhynchus tshawytscha (Chinook salmon)
Lineage: Eukaryota; Metazoa; Chordata; Actinopteri; Salmoniformes; Salmonidae
Gene: U2
Rfam family: U2 spliceosomal RNA
About the family: U2 is a small nuclear RNA (snRNA) component of the spliceosome (involved in pre-mRNA splicing). Complementary binding between U2 snRNA (in an area lying towards the 5' end but 3' to hairpin I) and the branchpoint sequence (BPS) of the intron results the bulging out of an unpaired adenosine, on the BPS, which initiates a nucleophilic attack at the intronic 5' splice site, thus starting the first of two transesterification reactions that mediate splicing.
Source: Ensembl
AUUGUUUGGUUUUGAAAGUAAUAAAUAUAUUUUAUAAUAAAAAAAAAAUCUGAUACGUCCCCCAUCGGGGGACUACAUAUUAAAUGGAUUUUUCGAACAGGGAGUCGGAAAUGGGGCUUGCUCCACGCAUCGACCCGGUAUUGCAGUACCUCCGGGAACGGUGCAACACUU